RNAcentral lists this long non-coding RNA (259 nucleotides) under Olea europaea subsp. europaea. Lineage: Eukaryota; Viridiplantae; Streptophyta; Magnoliopsida; Lamiales; Oleaceae. The record is from RNAcentral.
GUCGCUGACGCCUCGUAUUCCAAAUAAUCGACCUUCUUCUUUUUCAAAAAGGAAUCAAAGAUUAUUCUUCUUCUUAUAUAAUUCUCAUGUAUGUGAAUACGAAUCUAUUUUCGUCUUUAUACGUAACCAAUCUUCUCAUUUACGAUCAACAGCUUCUGGAGCUCUUCUUGAACGAAUAUAUUUCUAUGGAAAAAUAGAACGUCUUGUAGACGUCUUUGUUAAGAAUUUUUAGACCAAUCUAUGUUUGUUCAAGGAUCCU